This 404-nucleotide ribosomal RNA is filed under the name uncultured bacterium. RNAcentral's name for it is "bacterial SSU rRNA". It matches the Rfam family "Bacterial small subunit ribosomal RNA", at positions 356 to 774 of the family's 1533-position model. The record is from RNAcentral.
GGGGAAUAUUGCACAAUGGGGGAAACCCUGAUGCAGCAACGCCGCGUGAAGGAUGAAGGUUUUCGGAUUGUAAACUUCUUUAGUCAGGGACGAAGAAAGUGACGGUACCUGAAGAAUAAGCCACGGCUAACUACGUGCCAGCAGCCGCGGUAAUACGUAGGUGGCGAGCGUUGUCCGGAAUUACUGGGUGUAAAGGGCGUGUAGGCGGGAAUGUAAGUCAGAUGUGAAAUCCCAGGGCUUAACCCUGGAGCUGCAUCUGAAACUAUGUUUCUUGAGUGUCGGAGAGNAAAGCGGAAUUCCUAGUGUAGCGGUGAAAUGCGUAGAUAUUAGGAGGAACACCAGUUGCGAAGGCGGCUUUCUGGACGAUAACUGACGCUGAGGCGCGAAAGCGUGGGGAGCAAACA